UGACUGCCGGCUAAAAGUCGGAGGAAGGUGGGAUGACGUCAAAUCAUCAUGCCCUUAUGACCUGGGCUACACACGUGCUACAAUGGGCGGUACAAAGGUCGCGAACCCGCGAGGGGAGCCAAUCCCAAAAAGCCGCUCUCAGUUCGGAUUGCAGGCUGCAACUCGCCUGCAUGAAGCCGGAAUCGCUAGUAAUCGCGGAUCAGCAUGCCCGCGGUCCGAAUACGUUCCGGCCUU
Molecule: ribosomal RNA, 234 nt
Filed under: uncultured Anoxybacillus sp.
Lineage: Bacteria; Bacillati; Bacillota; Bacilli; Caryophanales; Anoxybacillaceae
Description: partial 16S ribosomal RNA
Rfam family: Bacterial small subunit ribosomal RNA
Source: RNAcentral